UACGGGAGGCAGCAGUGGGGAAUAUUGGACAAUGGGGGCAACCCUGAUCCAGCCAUGCCGCGUGUGUGAAGAAGGCCUUCGGGUUGUAAAGCACUUUUGUUGGGGAAGAAACCGGCCGGGUUAAUACCCUGGUUGAAUGACGGUACCCAAAGAAUAAGCACCGGCUAACUUCGUGCCAGCAGCCGCGGUAAUACGAAGGGUGCAAGCGUUACUCGGAAUUACUGGGCGUAAAGCGUGCGUAGGCGGUUUGUUAAGUCUGCUGUGAAAGCCCUGGGCUCAACCUGGGAACUGCAGUGGAUACUGGCGAGCUAGAGUGUGUCAGAGGAUGGUGGAAUUCCCGGUGUAGCGGUGAAAUGCGUAGAGAUCGGGAGGAACACCAGUGGCGAAGGCGGCCAUCUGGGACAACACUGACGCUGAGGCACGAAAGCGUGGGGAGCAAACAGGAUUAGAUACCCUGGUAGUCCACGCCCUAAACGAUGCGAACUGGACGUUGGGCACACUUAGGUGCUCAGUGUCGCAGCUAACGCGUAAG
RNAcentral lists this ribosomal RNA (532 nucleotides) under uncultured Gammaproteobacteria bacterium. Its description in RNAcentral is "bacterial SSU rRNA". It matches the Rfam family "Bacterial small subunit ribosomal RNA", at positions 340 to 864 of the family's 1533-position model. Lineage: Bacteria; Pseudomonadati; Pseudomonadota; Gammaproteobacteria. The record is from RNAcentral.